RNAcentral lists this ribosomal RNA (585 nucleotides) under uncultured bacterium. RNAcentral's name for it is "partial 16S ribosomal RNA". It matches the Rfam family "Bacterial small subunit ribosomal RNA", at positions 357 to 1375 of the family's 1533-position model. The record is from RNAcentral.
UGGGAAUUUGGACAAUGGGCGAAAGCCUGAUCCAGCAAUGCCGCGUGUGUGAAGAAGGCCUUCGGGUUGUAAAGCACUUUUGUCCGGAAAGAAAUCCUUGGCUCUAAUACAGUCGGGGGAUGACGGUACCGGAAGAAUAAGCACCGGCUAACUACGUGCCAGCAGCCGCGGUAAUACGUAGGGUGCAAGCGUUAAUCGGAAUUACUGGGCGUAAAGCGUGCGCAGGCGGUUUGCUAAGACCGAUGUGAAAUCCCCGGGCUCAACCUGGGAACUGCAUUGGUGACUGGCAGGCUAGAGUAUGGCAGAGGGGGGUAGAAUUCCACGUGUAGCAGUGAAAUGCGUAGAGAUGUGGAGGAAUACCGAUGGCGAAGGCAGCCCCCUGGGCCAAUACUGACGCUCAUGCACGAAAGCGUGGGGAGCAAACAGGAUUUAGAUACCCUGGUAGUCCACGCCCUAAAACGAUGUCAACUAGUUGUUGGGGAUUCAUUUCCUUAGUAACGUAGCUAACGCGUGAAGUUGACCGCCUGGGGAGUACGGCCGCAAGGUUAAAACUCAAAUGAAUUGACGGGGUCAUAGCUGUUUCCU